UACAGAGGUCUCAAGCGUUGUUCGGAUUCAUUGGGCGUAAAGGGUGUGUAGGUGGCGCCGUAAGUCGGGUGUGAAAUUUCGGAGCUUAACUCCGAAACUGCAUUCGAUACUGCGGUGCUUGAGGACUGGAGAGGAGACUGGAAUUCAUGGUGUAGCAGUGAAAUGCGUAGAGAUCAUGAGGAAGACCAGUGGCGAAGGCGGAUCUCUGGGCCAUUACUGACGCUGAGGAGCGAAAGCGUGGGGAGCGAACAGG
This 253-nucleotide ribosomal RNA is filed under the name uncultured bacterium. Its description in RNAcentral is "partial 16S ribosomal RNA". It matches the Rfam family "Bacterial small subunit ribosomal RNA", at positions 524 to 776 of the family's 1533-position model. The record is from RNAcentral.